UACGUAGGGGGCAAGCGUUACUCGGAUUUAUUGGGCGUAAAGAGAAUUCAGGCGGUCAUGUAAGUCAGUGGUGAAAUCCCUCGGCUCAACUGAGGAAUUGCCUCUGAUACUGCGUGACUUGAGGACAGGAGAGGAAGGCGGAAUUCCCGGUGUAGCGGUGGAAUGCGUAGAUAUCGGGAGGAACACCUGAGGCGAAGGCGGCUUUCUGGACUGGUCCUGACGCUGAUAUUCGAAAGCUAGGGGAGCAAACAGG
RNAcentral lists this ribosomal RNA (253 nucleotides) under uncultured bacterium. RNAcentral's name for it is "partial 16S ribosomal RNA". It matches the Rfam family "Bacterial small subunit ribosomal RNA", at positions 524 to 776 of the family's 1533-position model. The record is from RNAcentral.